UUCGUGUGUUAAGUGAAAGUUAUCACCACCAACUAUUUCUCUAAUUAAGAAAAAUGUCUUACUCGUUAAGUACGCGGGUAAUUCAUUUAUAACCUGCAUAAUGUGAACAUAGAUUAUCGCGUUUGGUUGGUUUCUUGGUUCAGUGUCUGUCAGAAUUCUCUAUGUAUGUGUAUCUUCACCUUCCAAUUAUGGAUCAGUAAAUUUAUUAUCGUUUUCCAAAAUAGCAAGACUAUUUCUUGCUUACAGGCCACAGCUCACACCAUUAAUUAGUUUCUCCAUUUCGUGUGUUAAGUGAAAGUUAUCACCACCAACUAUUUCUCUAAUUAAGAAAAAUGUCUUACUCGUUAAGUACGCGGGUAAUUCAUUUAUAACCUGCAUAAUGUGAACAUAGAUUAUCGCGUUUGGUUGGUUUCUUGGUUCAGUGUCUUUCAGAAUUUUCUAUGUAUGUGUAUCUUUACCUUCCAAUUAUGGAUCAGUAAAUUUAUUAUCGUUUUCCAAAAUAGCAAGACUAUCUCUUGCUUACAGGCCACAGCUCACACCAUUAAUUAGUUUCUCCAUAUAUAUAUGUAUAAAAACGCUGAUUCUGACUCCAAUGUCAGUUGAU
RNAcentral lists this long non-coding RNA (604 nucleotides) under Citrus maxima (pomelo). RNAcentral's name for it is "long non-coding RNA (CMAX_LNC003249)". Lineage: Eukaryota; Viridiplantae; Streptophyta; Magnoliopsida; Sapindales; Rutaceae. The record is from RNAcentral.